CAAAAAGACGUGUCGAGCCACACGACCGAAACUAAGGCACUAGGUGGGAGGCAACCCACACUUUCUAUGUAUUUUGUUGUUUUUGAUGAGAUUGCAGGAAUGAGGUAAAUUGUGGUAUGGGAAAGAAAUUAAAGUGAGUAAAAUAUGUUUUCGGGAGGCUAUCAGGUAUGAAAUGCUAUUUGAUGCAACAAAAAAUACAAGGAAGUAAAGGGGGAACCAGAAUUUCCCCAAGAUGGCAUAACAGUGGGCCUCUGGGUUAUUAGCAUGCCACAUCACUUAUCCUCCCUGAUAAGGUCAUGGUAUGCCAAGAAGAAAAUAUCGCGGAGGUGAUUCCAGUAAGCCUUCGUGAUUUCGACGUGCCACUCCCUUUAUCCUCUGUGAUAAGAUCGUGGCAUGGAGGAUGUCAAUUUUUAAAUUUUUUAAAAUAAAAAGUCGGGUUUUACUCGGCUUUUCCCCUCUUAACCCAAAUUCUCCCCUUUUAUACUCCAAAAAUCCCCAAAUCCCCUCUUUUUCCACAACCUAGCAUACCAUCCUUCCUAAUUCUCCCCAUCCUAAAGCGUGUCACGUAAAGGAAUUUUUCUCGCUCCUCUCUGCGACCUCAAAUUGGGUAUUAUGGCAAGUAGAGCUCAAAAAGGGAAAGAUCUUGCUGGGCCUUCUGAGCCAUCAAAAAAGAGGUUUCGUCUAACAGGUUGGGUACCUAGAGCCCCUAUUAUUGCAGGAGGCCAGACACGUUGGUAUGAAAUUAGGUGGAUUGAAGAAGCGGGGAAGGAAGGGCAUAACAAGUAUACUAAGUCUAAGUAUGCCUCGGACGAGUUUAUUGAUCGUUGCAUAAAGAAUUCUCGAGCAUGGUGCAGAAACUUAAGGAGCUGCAUAUGAACUUUAUUUUUAAGCAACCUACUAAAUGCAAUUUGAACUUAAUUAGGGAGUUCUAUGCCAACUGGGAUCCAAUAGAUCCUGUGCUACGGGAAUAAUCACGAAUAUGGACUUAUGGGAGUGCAUGUUGGGUUCGAGACUUAGUGUGUACAAUUGAAGUGCAAAAAGGGACCUAAAUGCACUAAAAUCAGCCAACAUAUUACACUUGAUGGGCACCUAAGUCUUUAAGGGGCCUUUUGGUCCUUUUUGUCUUUUAUUUGUAAUAGGAUAUAAAUAGAACCAUGUAGGGUUUCUUUGAUUAGUUUUUAAUGAUAUUUAUAAGUCUUGAAAUACCAAAGAACACAAGUCCUCUCUUCUUGAGGCACCAAAAAAGAAACGAGGAUACAACAAUAGGGUGGAUUUUCUUUUGUUGUUGCUUGCUUGGAAACGUUGAUGAUAGAGAGGUGCAAUCCAAUCUUGUGUCACGUAAGAGAUAGGUUUAUUAUUGUAUGUAGUGUUAAGGGUCCAAGAGUGUCCAUUCUUGGGUUCUUAAGAUUAUACCCUCAUGUGGUCUAUCUAUUUAUCCCUUUACUUUAUUGUAAUUUUAUUUUGUUCCUUUUGUUUUAGUGUAAGUUGAGUGGGUAUUUUUGUUGUUGUUGUUGUUCAACUCAUUAUUGUUUCCAUCUUGUAAUCUUCUUGUUAGUUUGUUGUUCGCUGAAAAAUAGGUGUCAAUCCACCUCAAUAUAGUGUUGUUAUUGUGCCA
Long non-coding RNA from Capsicum annuum, 1615 nucleotides. RefSeq lists it as uncharacterized. The record is from RefSeq and is a predicted model, not a curated record. The transcript is spliced from 2 exons. Lineage: Eukaryota; Viridiplantae; Streptophyta; Magnoliopsida; Solanales; Solanaceae.